GAAGACUAAAUGGCCUUGCUUCUCCUUACCUUCUCUAAAAUCAAAGGAGCACUGGCGGCCAAGAGCUGGCCUCUGCACCUCUGACGGGUAAGGGGGCCCUCGGGGAGCACAGGUCUCCCAAAGCCCUUUACCAGUGCUGGGGCCAGGAGUCAGCUGCAGGUCAUGUCAAUGCCAAGCCAAGGGCUUUCUCCACCCCCUUUCUCUGGUAAAGUUGACACCAGAAAACUAGACUCUAUGUUCAACUUGAACCCCAGGCAGAGGCUUAAUCUCUAGUUGUUGGAAGAAAAUUCUAACCUUCCUUUUGAGCUCCCACACCUAGCAUGGGGCUGUGCAGGAAGAAGGUAGCUUCUCCUUGCUCCCUUCCCACCCACCAGGAGUUCUUUUUUUGACCUGUGAAAGAUUCACUGGAUUCCUUCAUUUCUUGGCUGGUUUUCCAUGUGGGAAGCCAAAGGGGCCUUCCCAGUGAGCUGGAUCUGGGCGCGUUCUAGGCCACACUGUCUCCUGACACCCCACGGGGUCCCCGCUCCUUACUGCAUCCCACUCUGGGACGGUGUGCUGGGAACAGGCUCGCACCUGGAGCUCCAGCAUUUCCCCGAAGCGGCUGGAGGAGCAGGCGGC
Molecule: long non-coding RNA, 618 nt
Filed under: Marmota monax (woodchuck)
Lineage: Eukaryota; Metazoa; Chordata; Mammalia; Rodentia; Sciuridae
Source: RNAcentral